AUGAACGCUAGCGAUAGGCCUAACACAUGCAAGUCGAGGGGCAGCACAUGAAGUAGCAAUACGGAUGGUGGCGACCGGCGCACGGGUGAGUAACGCGUAUGCAACCUGCCUACAACAGGGGGAUAACCCGUUGAAAGACGGACUAAUACCUCAUAAUACAGGGGUUCCGCAUGGGAAUAUUUGUUAAAGAUUAAUCGGUUGUAGAUGGGCAUGCGUUCCAUUAGCUGGUUGGAGAGGUAACGGCUCACCAAGGCAACGAUGGAUAGGGGAACUGAGAGGUUUAUCCCCCACACUGGUACUGAGACACGGACCAGACUCCUACGGGAGGCAGCAGUGAGGAAUAUUGGUCAAUGGACGCAAGUCUGAACCAGCCACGUCGCGUGAAGGAAGACGGCCCUACGGGUUGUAAACUUCUUUUGUAAGGGAAUAAAGUGACGGUAGCAUAUGAAUAAGCACCGGCUAACUCCGU
Molecule: ribosomal RNA, 469 nt
Filed under: uncultured bacterium
Lineage: Bacteria
Description: bacterial SSU rRNA
Rfam family: Bacterial small subunit ribosomal RNA
Source: RNAcentral